GGGGCUGACAUAGCUUUAGACGUAGGAUUAACAUAUUAUUUCGCAAGUCGUUCAUACACGUAAAGUAUUUUUAAGUGCAAAUACAUUUGCCAAAGUGAAAGCUAGUAUCGCUAACUUGUUUAGUGCGCCAGUUUUUGCGCCAGCUUUAGUUUAAUCUGAAGCCGUCUGCUUAUUCUAUUCGGCGGAGAAUGGGUAAGGCGUCAGAAUUCGUCGAUACUGUGUGAUGCACUCCGCGGUGUUUUGCACAGGAAUUUUAAUGCGGCUUGACUGAAGACGUUUUGCUAGUUUUAUAAUCUUCAGUUUUGAAAUAAAAAACCAGCUAAGCUUGUAGACGAAUGAUAUAUUGUUUUGCGGACUCGGGUGCAAUACCCGACAGCUCCACCA
Molecule: transfer-messenger RNA, 384 nt
Filed under: Candidatus Nomurabacteria bacterium
Lineage: Bacteria; Candidatus Nomuraibacteriota
Rfam family: transfer-messenger RNA
About the family: Bacterial tmRNA, also known as 10Sa RNA or SsrA, is named for its dual tRNA and mRNA-like properties.
Source: RNAcentral